This 478-nucleotide ribosomal RNA is filed under the name uncultured organism. Its description in RNAcentral is "partial 16S ribosomal RNA". It matches the Rfam family "Bacterial small subunit ribosomal RNA", at positions 332 to 801 of the family's 1533-position model. The record is from RNAcentral.
UACACUCCUGCGGGAGGCAGCAGUGGGGAAUUUUGGACAAUGGGCGAAAGCCUGAUCCAGCAAUGCCGCGUGAGUGAAGAAGGCCUUCGGGUUGUAAAGCUCUUUUGUCAGGGAAGAAACGGUGAAAGCUAAUAUCUUUUGCUAAUGACGGUACCUGAAGAAUAAGCACCGGCUAACUACGUGCCAGCAGCCGCGGUAAUACGUAGGGUGCAAGCGUUAAUCGGAAUUACUGGGCGUAAAGCGUGCGCAGGCGGUUUUGUAAGUCUGAUGUGAAAUCCCCGGGCUCAACCUGGGAAUUGCAUUGGAGACUGCAAGGCUAGAAUCUGGCAGAGGGGGGUAGAAUUCCACGUGUAGCAGUGAAAUGCGUAGAUAUGUGGAGGAACACCGAUGGCGAAGGCAGCCCCCUGGGUCAAGAUUGACGCUCAUGCACGAAAGCGUGGGGAGCAAACAGGAUUAGAAACCCCAGUAGUCCCAUGAU